UACAGAGGUCUCGAGCGUUGUUCGGAUUCAUUGGGCGUAAAGGGCGCGUAGGCGGCGGGGUAAGUCUGGUGUGAAAUCUCGGAGCUCAACUCCGAAAUUGCACUGGAUACUGCUCUGCUAGAGGGCUGGAGAGGAGAUCGGAAUUCACGGUGUAGCAGUGAAAUGCGUAGAUAUCGUGAGGAAGACCAGUGGCGAAGGCGGAUCUCUGGACAGCUCCUGACGCUGAGGCGCGAAGGCUAGGGGAGCAAACAGG
RNAcentral lists this ribosomal RNA (253 nucleotides) under uncultured bacterium. RNAcentral describes it as "partial 16S ribosomal RNA". It matches the Rfam family "Bacterial small subunit ribosomal RNA", at positions 524 to 776 of the family's 1533-position model. The record is from RNAcentral.